RNAcentral lists this ribosomal RNA (1613 nucleotides) under Vibrio alginolyticus. RNAcentral's name for it is "partial 23S ribosomal RNA". It matches the Rfam family "Bacterial large subunit ribosomal RNA", at positions 607 to 2207 of the family's 2925-position model. Lineage: Bacteria; Pseudomonadati; Pseudomonadota; Gammaproteobacteria; Vibrionales; Vibrionaceae. The record is from RNAcentral.
UUUGUAUAAUGGGUCAGCGACUUAUAUUCAGUGGCAAGGUUAACCAUCUAGGGGAGCCGUAGGGAAACCGAGUCUUAACUGGGCGUUCAGUCUCUGGAUAUAGACCCGAAACCAGGUGAUCUAGCCAUGGGCAGGUUGAAGGUUGAGUAACAUCAACUGGAGGACCGAACCGACUAAUGUUGAAAAAUUAGCGGAUGACUUGUGGCUAGGGGUGAAAGGCCAAUCAAACCUGGAGAUAGCUGGUUCUCCCCGAAAGCUAUUUAGGUAGCGCCUCGGACGAAUACUACUGGGGGUAGAGCACUGUUAAGGCUAGGGGGUCAUCCCGACUUACCAACCCUUUGCAAACUCCGAAUACCAGUAAGUACUAUCCGGGAGACACACGGCGGGUGCUAACGUCCGUCGUGGAGAGGGAAACAACCCAGACCGCCAGCUAAGGUCCCAAAUUACUACUAAGUGGGAAACGAUGUGGGAAGGCUCAGACAGCCAGGAUGUUGGCUUAGAAGCAGCCAUCAUUUAAAGAAAGCGUAAUAGCUCACUGGUCGAGUCGGCCUGCGCGGAAGAUGUAACGGGGCUAAGUAGUAAACCGAAGCUGCGGCAAUAUACUUUUGUAUAUUGGGUAGGGGAGCGUUCUGUAAGCGGUUGAAGGUGUGUGGUAACGCAUGCUGGACGUAUCAGAAGUGCGAAUGCUGACAUGAGUAACGAUAAAGGGGGUGAAAAACCUCCUCGCCGGAAGACCAAGGGUUCCUGUCCAACGUUAAUCGGGGCAGGGUAAGUCGACCCCUAAGGCGAGGCCGAAAGGCGUAGUCGAUGGGAAACGGGUUAAUAUUCCCGUACUUCUUACAAUUGCGAUGGGGGGACGGAGAAGGCUAGGUGGGCCUGGCGACGGUUGUCCAGGUUCAAGUGCGUAGGCUGAAGAGUUAGGUAAAUCCGGCUCUUUUUAAGGCUGAGACACGACGUCGAGCUACUACGGUAGUGAAGUCAUUGAUGCCAUGCUUCCAGGAAAAGCCUCUAAGCUUCAGAUUGUAAGGAAUCGUACCCCAAACCGACACAGGUGGUCGGGUAGAGAAUACCAAGGCGCUUGAGAGAACUCGGGUGAAGGAACUAGGCAAAAUGGUACCGUAACUUCGGGAGAAGGUACGCUCUCGACGGUGAAGUCCCUCGCGGAUGGAGCUAUUGAGAGUCGCAGAUACCAGGUGGCUGCAACUGUUUAUUAAAAACACAGCACUGUGCAAAAUCGCAAGAUGACGUAUACGGUGUGACGCCUGCCCGGUGCCGGAAGGUUAAUUGAUGGGGUUAGACUUCGGUCGAAGCUCUUGAUCGAAGCCCCGGUAAACGGCGGCCGUAACUAUAACGGUCCUAAGGUAGCGAAAUUCCUUGUCGGGUAAGUUCCGACCUGCACGAAUGGCGUAAUGAUGGCCACGCUGUCUCCACCCGAGACUCAGUGAAAUUGAAAUCGCUGUGAAGAUGCAGUGUACCCGCGGCUAGACGGAAAGACCCCGUGAACCUUUACUACAGCUUGGCACUGAACAUUGACCCUACAUGUGUAGGAUAGGUGGGAGGCUUUGAAGCGCAGUCGCUAGAUUGCGUGGAGCCGUCCUUGAAAUACCACCCUU